AACAUUAGAAAAAUUGUCAAAUCAUGGCGCUUACAUUGACCGUGUAUUUUGACUUGUCACCUGACACUGUUGAGUUUGCUAGAAAACAACUGUCCAUGAUUUUGGACUGGGACACAUAGUCACAGUAUUUUGAUCUUUCAAGCGGACGAUCAAUCGGCCAAAUGAUUGAUGACAGGAACAACAUUGACACCAUGGCUCGAUCCCUCACACACACCUGAAACUAUUUGUAAUCUCUUUAUAAAUGAAUUUCACCGAUAACAAAGCAGUUGACAAAUCGAGCAAGUUCAUUAUAGAAACAAGAACCCACAGACUUGACCUCUGAGUCACCUUGAACAAGCUGAGGUGUCAGUAGACUGAGAAGGGGUCACUUCACUAAACCGAUUGUGUUCGAUUAUUGGCAUAUUACUGUAUUGACAUGUUUAUCACGACUGAAGUAAACAAAUAAUCAAUACAUGGAAAGUGCAAAGACGUAAGUGUGUUAGGAAAUAGGUGGAUGGGGAAGUGUGCUAGUCCCAUAGUUUUGGCUUUGUGUUUCCUGCCAUUUUGUAACUUUACAAUGGUUGUAAUUGUCUUGAAAAUAUUUAUGUCAAAGAUUUGUUUGUAUCUUCCUUUGAGUUAUUUCUGUGAACACCUGUAAGUCUUGUUUAAAUGUAUUUCUGGAGUAUCAUGCUGCUGACUCCUGCCCCUAAAAUUGGCUUCCACCUCUUGUAGUUAUGUUUUUUACACUGCAAUAAACUAUGCUUGUAACAAACACGCUUAUCAUGAACUGACUGACAAAAUGAACUGGGUUUUUCAGUUUGGGUCACAUGCUGUAUAUUUUUCGUCUAAAUGCAUAGUACAAGGGUUUGUGGUCCCUUAGUCUGUCCCCGGGGCGGUGGGGUAGCCUAGUGGUUAAAGCAUUGGCUCGUCACGCCAAAGACCUGGGUUCGAUUCCCCACAUGGGCACAAUGUGUUAAGCCCAUUUCUGGUGUCCCCGCCGCGUGAUAUUGCUGGAAUAUUGCUAAAAGCGGCGUAAAACUAAACUCAGUCAGUCAGUCAGUAGUCUGACCCCAUUAUUUUUACCUUCUUCCUAGACCCUCCUGCAAUGCUAAAGCCCAAAAUUAAGUAAGUCUAGAUUUCCUCAGGUACAGGCUCUGAAUCUCCAUUCUCCUUUUCAAUUUGUAAAUAAUUGUUUGUUUUAUCGAAAUUAUAUAUAUUCAGAGACUAAGCCUUAGUCUAGUGGUCCCUUUGAAUUUGCUAUAACUGUAGUUUACUUUAUUUCGACUCUACCUGGGUUUUGCACUGGACUAUUUCCUCAACAUGACAUUCAUAGCUUGUCAGACUGCCAGUGGAUAGAGUGUCUGCUUGGAGAGUGGAAGGUCAGAAGUUCAAGGCCAUGUCAGUAGUUCAAGGCCAUGUCAGUAGUUCAAGGCCAUGUCAGUACUUCAAGGCCAUGUCAAACGUUUUUUACCCUGUCUGGUGCUAGACAUUAAUGCAUAAAACACAGACUGUCGGCUCAAAGCCAGUAGACUGUGUCUGAGUGAGUUUCCAUGUUCAGCUGCAGCAGUAUGCUGGCUCAAUAAAACCAGCAUUACUCAGGACUGGUACAAGCAUUCUCACACACUUGGCAAAAUAAGUGCAAUUACCCGGUAUGUUAAACAGACACUUAAACCCCAUUUCACAUCACACCAAAGGUUUCAUAUUCAUAGGAAAACCUGAAUACAGUCACUAUAGCCUGGUCCUUGACCCCAAGGCUUGUGGCCAAGAGGGCAAUAGGUUACAUUAGAAUGAAGUGGACAUUAAUUAUAUUCUUCCUCCCUAUGUUGUCAGUUUUGCGAAAUGUCACUAGAAAUACAAAUACAUAUUUUGCUGAAUUGCUGAUGAUUAUUACUUUUCUCAUCUUGAUUGUCAUUGGUGACUACCUGUAUAUGCAUAAUAGUGAUGAUGAUCUUAAAAAAAAUAUUUAUCAUUUUGUCGUAAUUUCCGUUGAUGUUUGUUUGUUGAUGCUAUGUUUGACUGGUGGAAAUAUUGUACACUGGUUACUUUCCUUCUCUUCCUUCCAUUUGUAAACAGAUUGUGUGAACACAUUUGUUUUGGAUGUAUUGUAAUCCUUCCAUACCUUUGUAAACAGAUAGUGUAUAUAUCUUUGAGUUGUACACUGUUAUUUUCUUAGCUGUUCCUUCCAUUUGUAAACAGACUGUGUAUGCAUGUACUAGUAUGAUAUAUGAGCAGUAUUUUUCUAAUCCUUCCUUCCAUUUGUAAAUUGAUAUACAAAGGGUAUGCAUGUUUGAGUUGGCUGCAAAGACAGUUAAUCGCCCUGUGUCACCAGCAGUGUUACCAUGGUUACACAUGUAGGUAAAGGAUGUGGACGAAGGUGGAAGAAUAUUUCACGAUCAGCAGUAUGUGGCAAACUCUUUUAUGUCUACUAACCCGAACUUGGCACUUGAAUCCAUUUGUAUUACAUUUCAUAUUAUUAUGUGGCCUAUUAUUACCAAAGAUUUCCAGGAUGCUCCUGGAUUCUGACUUCCAAAAAAGUUGCUUUAGAAAAUAUGGCUGCAUGGAGAAAAGAAAUAAUUUUUUAAGGAUCUUUCUGUCUGUGGGGACCCAAGAAAAUAUGUGUCCAGUGUGAUAUUUCAUGCAACUACAUGUAUUAAAAGUCAUGGUACAAAUUAUUGUGAACCAAAUAUGUGAAGGAUCGUGAAUUGUUUGGGGCAUGUUUUUCCUUAUUGAAGAAACAAAUAAAAAUAUCCUCCCAAAAAAUUCAUGAACUA
Haliotis rubra (blacklip abalone) is the source of this 2750-nucleotide long non-coding RNA. RefSeq lists it as uncharacterized. The transcript is spliced from 2 exons. The record is from RefSeq and is a predicted model, not a curated record. NCBI's taxonomy places the organism in Eukaryota, Metazoa, Mollusca, Gastropoda, Lepetellida, Haliotidae.